RNAcentral lists this long non-coding RNA (654 nucleotides) under Dasypus novemcinctus (nine-banded armadillo). RNAcentral's name for it is "lncRNA (ENSDNOG00000050580.1)". The record is from RNAcentral. Lineage: Eukaryota; Metazoa; Chordata; Mammalia; Cingulata; Dasypodidae.
UUGUAGAGCCAGAUAGGACCACAGCUGAGUUUGAGGUGCCCCGCUUGACUCUUGGGGACAGUGGGCUCUGGGAGUGCCGCGUGUCCACAUCUGGUGGCCAAGACAGCCGGCGCUUCAGGAUCAAUGUCAAAGUGCCCCCAGUGGCCCUCAGUGCACCUCGGCUCCUGGCCAAGCAGAGCCGCCAGCUUGUGGUCUCCCCACUGGUCUCAUUCUCUGGGGAUGGGCCCAUCUCCUCCGUCCGCCUGCACUACCGGCCCCAGGACAGCACCAUGGCCUGGUCCACCAUUGUGGGUGAGUGGGGAGAGAGCUGGGGGCAGGAAACUACUGGGGCAGGAGGGCAUUGUUGGAUAAUCAUACAGGGAUGAGGUAAGAGUGGAAAGGGAGGGAGGAGAGUGUGAGGAGAAGAGAGGGGGCUGCAAGGAGAAUGGAGGCUUCUGGAAGAGGUUGGGACUAAACAAUGUGUGCUGCACACCCAUCCCCAGUGGACCCCAGUGAGAACGUGACGUUAAUGAACCUGAGGCCGAAGACAGGAUACAGUGUCCGUGUGCAGCUGAGCCGGCCAGGGGAAGGAGGAGAGGGGGUCUGUGGGCCUCCCGCGCUCAUGACCACUGACUGUCCUGGUGAGAGGCCAAAAGUCAGCCCUUCCUGUCUCUC